Molecule: non-coding RNA, 45 nt
Organism: Saprolegnia diclina VS20
Lineage: Eukaryota; Oomycota; Saprolegniomycetes; Saprolegniales; Saprolegniaceae
Source: Rfam
ACACUGGUGUUUUUCAACACCACCCAAACCACAAGAAACGAGUUG